AAAUUGAAGAGUUUGAUCAUGGCUCAGAUUGAACGCUGGCGGCAGGCCUAACACAUGCAAGUCGAACGGUAACAGGAAGCAGCUUGCUGCUUCGCUGACGAGUGGCGGACGGGUGAGUAAUGUCUGGGAAACUGCCUGAUGGAGGGGGAUAACUACUGGAAACGGUGGCUAAUACCGCAUAACGUCGCAAGACCAAAGAGGGGGACCUUCGGGCCUCUUGCCAUCAGAUGUGCCCAGAUGGGAUUAGCUAGUUGGUGAGGUAACGGCUCACCAAGGCGACGAUCCCUAGCUGGUCUGAGAGGAUGACCAGCCACACUGGAACUGAGACACGGUCCAGACUCCUACGGGAGGCAGCAGUGGGGAAUAUUGCACAAUGGGCGCAAGCCUGAUGCAGCCAUGCCGCGUGUAUGAAGAAGGCCUUCGGGUUGUAAAGUACUUUCAGCGGGGAGGAAGGUGUUGUGGUUAAUAACCGCAGCAAUUGACGUUACCCGCAGAAGAAGCACCGGCUAACUCCGUGCCAGCAGCCGCGGUAAUACGGAGGGUGCAAGCGUUAAUCGGAAUUACUGGGCGUAAAGCGCACGCAGGCGGUCUGUCAAGUCGGAUGUGAAAUCCCCGGGCUCAACCUGGGAACUGCAUUCGAAACUGGCAGGCUUGAGUCUUGUAGAGGGGGGUAGAAUUCCAGGUGUAGCGGUGAAAUGCGUAGAGAUCUGGAGGAAUACCGGUGGCGAAGGCGGCCCCCUGGACAAAGACUGACGCUCAGGUGCGAAAGCGUGGGGAGCAAACAGGAUUAGAUACCCUGGUAGUCCACGCCGUAAACGAUGUCUACUUGGAGGUUGUGCCCUUGAGGCGUGGCUUCCGGAGCUAACGCGUUAAGUAGACCGCCUGGGGAGUACGGCCGCAAGGUUAAAACUCAAAUGAAUUGACGGGGGCCCGCACAAGCGGUGGAGCAUGUGGUUUAAUUCGAUGCAACGCGAAGAACCUUACCUGGUCUUGACAUCCACGGAAGUUUUCAGAGAUGAGAAUGUGCCUUCGGGAACCGUGAGACAGGUGCUGCAUGGCUGUCGUCAGCUCGUGUUGUGAAAUGUUGGGUUAAGUCCCGCAACGAGCGCAACCCUUAUCCUUUGUUGCCAGCGGUUAGGCCGGGAACUCAAAGGAGACUGCCAGUGAUAAACUGGAGGAAGGUGGGGAUGACGUCAAGUCAUCAUGGCCCUUACGACCAGGGCUACACACGUGCUACAAUGGCGCAUACAAAGAGAAGCGACCUCGCGAGAGCAAGCGGACCUCAUAAAGUGCGUCGUAGUCCGGAUUGGAGUCUGCAACUCGACUCCAUGAAGUCGGAAUCGCUAGUAAUCGUGGAUCAGAAUGCCACGGUGAAUACGUUCCCGGGCCUUGUACACACCGCCCGUCACACCAUGGGAGUGGGUUGCAAAAGAAGUAGGUAGCUUAACCUUCGGGAGGGCGCUUACCACUUUGUGAUUCAUGACUGGGGUGAAGUCGUAACAAGGUAACCGUAGGGGAACCUGCGGUUGGAUCACCUCCUUACCUUAAAGAA
This 1552-nucleotide ribosomal RNA is filed under the name Salmonella enterica subsp. enterica serovar Karamoja. Its description in RNAcentral is "bacterial SSU rRNA". It matches the Rfam family "Bacterial small subunit ribosomal RNA". Lineage: Bacteria; Pseudomonadati; Pseudomonadota; Gammaproteobacteria; Enterobacterales; Enterobacteriaceae. The record is from RNAcentral.